This is a long non-coding RNA of Harpia harpyja (harpy eagle), 1141 nucleotides long. RefSeq lists it as uncharacterized. The record is from RefSeq and is a predicted model, not a curated record. Lineage: Eukaryota; Metazoa; Chordata; Aves; Accipitriformes; Accipitridae. The transcript is spliced from 2 exons.
AUCAGGGUUAUCUUGUGCAGGGUGGUGAAAGGGGAAAGCCUGGGAGGACAGGUACCCUCCAAGGGAUGAGGCAAUGCCUGGGAAACAGCAAGACCCUACUAAGCAACCUGGCUUUUGAUCCCCAAAAGUACAUAAAAUAAGGGAUAUGUAAAAGCAAACCCCAAGAAAUGCUGAAAAUGUUGAUGUCUGUCUUCUCUCGUUUUUGGUUUUUUUUUUCAAGGAGUGGCGGAUAACACAGUGUGUUGUGGACCAGAAGAUCCAUAAGGGUGCCCAAGAAGAUGUGGAAGCUCCUGUGGAUUUCUAAUGAGCAAUGUUGAGUCUGGCUAAGCUAUGAGAUUAUGAGAUCUCAAGGCAUCUGUCCCUUCAGACAACAUCGUAAAAAUCUUCUCAUUUCAGAGUUACAGCAACUGGACAAUACGGGCAGCAGUGCCAAGCCGGGGAUUUGAAUAACAGCAUGCACGUCUUACAAGGAAAACAUGGAAGCGGCGCGUUCAUCGCUCCUUGCGACAGCCGUGUGUCUCCUCGGAGGUGCGGAGGGACAGAGAUUACAGGCACAGACCUGCAGGAAGAGGGAUUUGAUCUCCCAGACAGUGGUCUGCUUGACAAAGCUGCCAAACUAACAUUUCUCAGCGGUACAGGACCCUCCUCCCUCUGCUACGAAAUGUCAGGCUUUGGCACCUGCAGAGUACCUUGCUACUUUGAAAUGGCAGCCUGGCUCUCUAAAGUGUCACCAGCGAUCCAGUCCCCAAUUAACGGCACGGGUUUGUGGGUUUCUGACACUGUUCUCAAAGCUCCUGUGGGUUGCUGCAGCCUACAAGCCAGGGAUCAUUUCUGCUUUGCAAGACUCAAAGGAGAGGAAGGGAAAAAAGCUGGGAAGGAAAGGCUACAGUUUCAUUAUUCCAUGCUAGCAGGAUAACAGAAUACAUUUCCUUUAAUACUAAAAUGUGUCAUUUGAGAAAAGAUCCUGCUGUCUGAUCAAGCUCUCCAUUAGUUAUUUUUGCAUGUGCAUGCACAAAUCCAGCAGCUAAGCCUACAGCACUGCUCUAUAUUGGAAACCAGAAAAUGCUGCAGGGUGUUUCUAAAGAAUAGCAAUUUGGAGGUUGUGGGUGGUUUGUGGGUGUAAUAAAAAAGGCUGCAUACC